GACGAACGCUGGCGGCGUGCUUAACACAUGCAAGUCGAACGGUGAAGCGCCUUCCUUUUUGGUGGGUGUGGAUGAGUGGCGAACGGGUGAGUAACACGUGAGUAACCUGCCCCCUUCUUCUGGAUAACCGCAUGAAAGUGUGGCUAAUACGGGAUAUUCUGGGUCUGUCGCAUGAUGGGUCUGUGAAAGAUGUUGUUUCGGGGGGGGAUGGGCUGGCGGCCGGUGAGGUGGUUGGGGGGGUGAUGGACUACGAGGGCGGGGACGGUUCGCCGGCCUGAGGGGGUGGCCGGUCACACGGGGUGAGAGACCCCAUCGAGACUGCUAUGGGAGGCAGCAGUCGGGAAUAUUGAGCAGUGGGGGAAAGUCUGCUGCGGCGGCGCCGCGGAUGCGGUGAAGCCCUUCGGGUUGUGAACCCCUUUGGCCAGUGAAGCAGGCCCGCCUCGUUUGUGGGUGGGUUGACGGUAGCUGGAUAAGAAGCGCCGGCUAACUACGUG
RNAcentral lists this ribosomal RNA (494 nucleotides) under uncultured bacterium. RNAcentral describes it as "partial 16S ribosomal RNA". It matches the Rfam family "Bacterial small subunit ribosomal RNA", at positions 28 to 507 of the family's 1533-position model. The record is from RNAcentral.